Canis lupus familiaris (dog) is the source of this 1431-nucleotide long non-coding RNA. RefSeq lists it as uncharacterized. The record is from RefSeq and is a predicted model, not a curated record. The transcript is spliced from 3 exons. NCBI's taxonomy places the organism in Eukaryota, Metazoa, Chordata, Mammalia, Carnivora, Canidae.
GGCCUGUGAUGGCACCAAUAUCUGCUUUCCUGCCCACUCGGAAGGUAAUGUGGCUAUAAAAUUGAUGAGUUAGAUAAAUAGGGUACAAAGGGUGGACUGUGUCUAGCUCUGCAGAGUGCUCUGACUGGUCUCCCAACCCAACCUGGAUAAAUCAUCCUGUCUCCAUUCCACCCACCACCUCGGCCUAGACUGUUCCAUCUGGGCUCCUUCUGACUGACUCCCCAGGAGUUCCCAUUUGCUCUGCCUCUCUGUCUAAUUCGUCACUUUGGCAACCUGAGAGCUCUUCUAUUUCUUUCCAGGUCAAAUAUGUCUCAUUUCACUUUUUUUUUUUUUUUAAUGUGAAACUCUUCUCAGCAAGCCAGCCUCUUGUUCUCAUGGUGAGGCUACAACGUCACACGACCAGCAGGCCAGCAUGCCACAGUCUCACCAGAUGAGGCCAAGAGACCUUGGCCUAGGGCCUGUCAGAUUCCUGUCAGGGUGACCCAGGGCCUCGGCAAUGGUGUGACUGUAUUUUCCUGAUGGACAUGUAAGAGAUCCAGUCACGGAAGGAAGAAAGGACAAGGCAUAGGGAUCCUUGGUUCUACAAAGAGGCGGGCCCAACUCUUGCUGGAUUCCACUGGAAAAAUCAGAACAAUUCCUAUUAUUUUCGGUUCCCAGACCUUGAAUAUGUCAGGCUUCAGGUUCACUUCCUACGUGUCUCUCGUCGCCGGAUCUGCAAGUAAUUUCGGCUGGUAUCAUGACACGGAGGAGAAAAGUGAAUGCCUUUUCUGUCCUGCUGUGUGAAUGGCAGGCUGUGAGGGCCAAAUCCCACCGCCCCCAAGAAAGGCCUUCUCAUUUUCCUCACCUGUUCUUGAGCCUGGAGGGUCGGCUGAGUGAAGCUGAUGCCCGGACCCCAUGAGGAGGUUGGUUAAACAUGACAGAUCUUGAUUAGGGGCAUUAAACGGCCUGUAUUUGCUCGAAAAUGGAUGUCAAGCCUGGGCAGGGUAGAUGCUCCUUUGUUUUAAAAAAUGGAUUUGAGGGGGGUUGGGAGGUGGGUAAAAUGGGUGAAGAGGGUCAAAAGAUACAAACUUCCUGUUAUAAAAUAAAUAAGUCUUGUAGGUGUAACAUACAGCAUGGUGACUAUAGUUAAUAAUACUGUACUUACUGCAUGUUUGAAAAUUGCUAUUUAUGUUUGUAAAUCAUAAAAGUUCUCACAAGAAAAAAAAAGUGUAACCAUGGAUGGUGAUGGAUGUUAACUAGACUUAUUGUGAUGCUCAUUUCACAAUACACAUAAACAUCAAAUCAUUAUAUUGUACACCUGAGACUAAUAUAAUGUUAUCUAGCAAUUAUACCUGCCUCAAUUUAAAAAAGAAAAAAAAAAUUUGGGAUGCCUGGGUGGCUCAGUGGUUGAGCGUCUGCCUUUGGGUCAAGGUGUGAUCCCGGUGUCCUAGG